UAAUCUCUCUGUGUCACUAUCCCUCUUUCUCCCAGUUACGACCGCAGCUGUUCCCAGCAUCCACCCCCGCUUUCCCGUGGUGUUGCCCCCCCGCUCUCCCUGGCUCUCCCCCGCUCCCUGGCUCCAGAGGACAGCCGGCAGACGCUGCACUCCUCCUCCUCCUCCUCCACCAACAGGGAGAGGAUCCCAGUUGUGAACCUCUGAGGUGACUGUUUCUCCAUAUGGUAAACAUAUCUACGGGGCCCGAGGAGGAGCCUCAAUCCGACCGGAGGGUGUGCCCGCAGCGCCGUUUUAUUUUCUCUGAAACUGUGAAUUGAAUCCAGGGGUCCCAGGUAUCCAGCCUUCACAAAACUCCUCCACUUCCCCGAGGUCUAAAAGCCCCAAACUCAUCUCCCCGCUGCCUCCAUCCUUUGUACGGUUUAAAUGUUCUUUCAUGUGGAUCUGCGUCACUGUUACCUGUUUUCCAUCCAUAGCCUUGAGCUCUUCUCCUCGGCCCGCCAUGACUAAUUCACAAACAAUCAGUUUAACAGACGCUCGACAUCCCAUUGCCCCUGAAAUGCCCUACCUGUGCUUCCACAGCUGACCCCACAUGCACUUGUAAAGCCGACCAGUGUCCCUUUGAAUCCAGCAGACUGUUCUUUCAUCAUUACAUGUCACUUGUUUGACGCUGUUAUCCAAAGCGACUAACAUACUGUGGCCAAUCCCCACAGGAGCAAUUUGGGGUGAAGUGUCUUGCCCAGGGACACAACGACAUGCUGACUGCAGUGGGGUUUGAACCUGUGACCCGGACAACCCACUACGCCACCACUCAUCAAAUGACACUUCAAUUCAGUUGAAUCUGGUUUGCAAAUGGUUAAAAAAAGAAACCAUUCUCAGCAUCUCCAAACACUGAAUGGGGUAUUUCACAAAGCCGUUUGGCAGGGCCGUAGCCAACAGGCAAUGUGUUUAACAUGUCACGCUUCAAAAACUGCUGUUUAUUCCCUGCUUUGGGCGCCUGAAAUGCAAAUAGUGUUUUUUUUUGUUUUUUCCUCUGUAGUGUAGCGGGAGUCGGUUUUUGUUUCGGCUUUUUCCUCAUGAUUUGUUUCCUUAAUUAUCCGGCUGACGUUCACCUCUUUGUGAGCACCCUCUGUUCCUGCUGGACUGUGUUAGGGCUGUUUUAAGCAUCGAGUACUUCCAGUGGACGAGAUAAAAUAUUCAGAGUGGAUAGAGGAGGCAAAAGUGUUGAAAAUCAAUGAUUCCCAACGGGUUUUUUUGGAUGGCGCACAACAAAGACAGAUUCACGUGUGAACUGUGCGCGUGAUCAGAGGACGGAUGUUACCACGACGAGGGUUUCUCUCUCCAUCUGAAAGCCAAGUAUAUCAAUCUGGAAAAACAAACCCCACCGUAAUUUCCUCUCAUAUCACAUUUCAAGUCGCCGUAUAUCAACUGUCUUGGGAGCACCAAAGGAAAGUUGUACAUCAAGGCACAUCAUCUCUGUCUCUCCGAUGAUUCUGCAUGUAUACAGUAAGAAAACCCGUGAGAGUAGCAGCAAAUCCAUUAUUUAUAAAUGUCUAUUUUAUCUAUCAGUGAGUGACGUCUUCUAGAGCCUUUCAAAGCCAAAUGUCAGUUUGUGUUUGGCAACUUUUCUAAACAGCUUUGAAUCCCGUCUUAACGUUUCCACUUCAGACACAGUAGUGCUGGUGGCAUCAUGCGUGCAAUCCUCCAGAUAACGAGUCUUGUGAUUUUUAGUAGCAUUCCUGUAGAAAAUGUGGUCUUUCUGUACCAUGGAAGUUCAAUAAAGACACAACACUGGCGUUUUA
Long non-coding RNA from Notothenia coriiceps (black rockcod), 1799 nucleotides. RefSeq lists it as uncharacterized. The transcript has 2 exons. NCBI's taxonomy places the organism in Eukaryota, Metazoa, Chordata, Actinopteri, Perciformes, Nototheniidae. The record is from RefSeq and is a predicted model, not a curated record.